Homo sapiens (human) is the source of this 6025-nucleotide long non-coding RNA. The record is from Ensembl. Lineage: Eukaryota; Metazoa; Chordata; Mammalia; Primates; Hominidae.
GGGCGGAACUAGGAGUGCGCAGAUGUGGGCCAGAGCGGAUUUCCCCUUCCCCAGGCAAAUUCGGCGCCCACUGCGUCCCCGCAGGCCACUGACCUUAGAGGACUACUUGCCCGAGACUCGUGGGGCUGGAUGGGAAUCGUAGUCUUCCUAGGAGUUGUAGGUAUCUUUUUUUGGCCUAGUCUCUGCUCUCAAGAUAGGAGAACAUAACAACACUCCAAUCCAUUACUGUUGACAUGUAUAAGCCCGCGGAGGUCUCCAAUCUAUCCACUGGAUUUCCGUGAGAAUUGUGCCCGCUUUGGUAUUGGAUGUUCCUCUCCAUAAGACUACAGUUUCCAAGGAACAGUGUGGCCAAGGCCUUUCGUUCCGCAAUGCAUGUUGGAAAUAGUAGUUCUUUCCCUCCACCUCCCAACAAUCCUUUUAUUUACCUAAACUGGAGACCUCCAUUAGGGCGGAAAGAGUGGGGUAAUGGGACCUCUUCUUAAGACUGCUUUGGACACUAUCUUACGCUGAUAUUCAGGCCUCAGGUGGCGAUUCUGACCUUGGUACAGCAAUUACUGUGACGUAAUAAGCCGCAACUGGAAGCGUAGAGGCGAGAGGGCGGGCGCUUUACGGCGAACUCAGGUAGAAUUCUUCCUUUUCCGUCUCUUUCUUUUUAUGUCACCAGGGGAGGACUGGGUGGCCAACCCAGAGCCCCGAGAGAUGCUAGGCUCUUUCUGUCCCGCCCUUCCUCUGACUGUGUCUUGAUUUCCUAUUCUGAGAGGCUAUUGCUCAGCGGUUUCCGUGGCAACAGUAAAGCGUGGGAAUUACAGAUAAAUUAAAACUGUGGAACCCCUUUCCUCGGCUGCCGCCAAGGUGUUCGGUCCUUCCGAGGAAGCUAAGGCCGCGUUGGGGUGAGACCCUCACUUCAUCCGCUCUAAAACCAGCUCCAUCACUUGAAAUGGCAAAAUAAAUCAUGAAUGAGGCCGGGGGCUGUGGCUCACACCUGUAAUCCCAGCACUCUGGGGGGCCGAGGCAGGCAGAUCACGAGCUCGAUUUCUUGGUUCCCUGACUGGGAAGCGAGGUGAAUGGCGGAUGGUCAAGGCAGCUCCUUAGGCGGCUUAAACCUGCCCUGUGGAACAUCCCUGCAGGGGACUCCAACCAGCCCGAGCAACACGGAUCCUGAGGGCGCUCCUGGUUAGGCAUUUGCCCCACUGGGACGCCUCGCCAGAGCACUGUAUGGCAGGCCCCCAUGGAGGAUCAACGCAGUGGCUGAACACCGGGAAGGAACGGGCACUUGGAGUCUGGACAUCUAAAACUUGAAUUUCUAGUAAACCAGCACCAGCCUGAAGAUCACAUUCUCAUCGAAAGGUGGAAAGAAGAAAAACUCGAGCCAGCCUGGAAGGACCCUACCUUGUGUUGCUAACCACCAAGACUGCUGUUCGUACAGCAAAAAAGGAUGGACUCGUCACACCAGAAUCAAGAAAGUGCCACCCCCUCCAGAGUCAUGGGCCACAGUCCCAGAGGAAAACCCUGCCAAACUAAAGCUACGAAAAAUCUCUUUUCAUCUAUUCUAUUACUCUUCUUUCUUUCCUCGUGCUAUUGCUGACCAUCUAGUUAUUAACAUAACCAAGUCAAUUUCACCUCAAACUAUUGCAUUUAAUGCUUGCCUUGUUAUACCCUGUGGGGACUUGCCAAGUCAAAGACAGCUCUCUACUUCAGAAAAGUACUUCUGUCCCUCCUGACUCUCCUCAGACUGGACAUUAGUAAACUAGGACCAUUUAAUCCAGGGAGAUUUCGAUAAAGACCCCAGUGCCAACCAGGAGUCUUGUCCCCUGAUGUAGAGUUUUUAUGCCGUAGUUGGUCCAACGUUCUGUGGACCACUAAAGAGCAAGAAUGGACUGCCCCAACCAGUUUUUGUAAUUUCCUAAAACCAUACAUUCGUUUUACUAGAGGAUCAUAGAAGUUAAAGAGUUAAAACAAACUUUACCAAUGAAGACAGGAUACCAAGAUGCAAAUGCCUGGUUAAAAUGCAUCAAAUAUUCCAUCUGCACGUUAAACAAAAGCAAUUGUUAUGCUUGUGCACAUGGCAGGCCAGAGGCCCAGAUUGUCCCCUUUCCACUAAGGUGGUCCUCCAGUCGACCAGAUGUGGGCUGCCUGGUAGCUCUUUUCCAGGAUUCUACAGCCUGUAUUAAUAAGUCAUGCCAAGCUCUCUCUGCUAUAUCCCAAAGUCCAGCACCCUGCGGGUCAGCCCCCGAGGGCCAUCCAUCCUCCAUCUCCCAACACUAAGUUCACUUCAUGUCUCUCACAACAGGGAGGAAACUUAGCGUUCCUUGGAGACCUGAAAGGAUGCAGUUAGCUUAAGAAUUUUCAAGAGCUUAUCAAUCAGUCAGCCCUUGUUCAUCCCCGAGCAGAUGUGUGGUGGUAUUGUGGUGGACCUUUACUGGGCACUCUGCCAAAUAACUGGAGUGGCACUUGUACUUUAGUCCAAUUGGCUAUCCCUUUCACCCUGGCAUUUCAUCAACCAGAAGGAAAAAAAGAAAGACAUUGUAAAGCGAGAGAAGCCCCUUAUGGGUCUUUCGACUCUCAUGUCUAUUUAGAUGCAAUUGGAGUCCCACGAAGAAUACCAGAUCAAUUUAAAGCUUGAAAUCAAAUAGCUGCAGGAUUUAAGUCAAUAUUUUAGUGGGUGACAGUUAAUAAAAAUGUAGAUUAGAUAAACUACAUCUAUUACAACCAACAACAACGAGGUUUUCAUGAGUUAAAAGAAAACCUCAUGUUGGUCCCAGCCCUGAGGCUACCUGACCUGACAAAACUCUUUACACUCUAUGUGUCAGAAAGAGAAAAAAUGGCAGUUGGAGUUUUAACCCAUACUGUGAGGCCCUGGCCAAGGCCAGUGGCCUAUCUCUCAAAACAACUAGACAGGAUUUCCAAAGGCUGGCCCCCAGGUCUAAGGGCCCUAGCAGCAACAGCCCUGUUAGCACAAGAAGCAGAUAAACUAACCCUUAGGAAAACCUGAAUAUAAAGGCCCCCCAUGCUGUGGUAACUUUAAUGACUACCAAAGGACCUCAUUGGUUACAAAUGCUAGAUUAACCAAGUACCAAAGCUUGCUAUGUGAAAAUCCCCACAUAACCACUGAAGUUUGCAACACCCUAAACCCCACCACCUUGCUCCUGGUAUCAGAGAGCCUAGUUGAACAUACUGUGUAGAGGUGUUGGACUCAGUUUAUUCUAGCAGGCCCAACCUCCGAGACUAUCCUUAAACAUCAGUAGACUGUGAGGGGUACGUGGACGGGAGUAGCUUCGCCAACCCCUGCAAAGUGACUCUGAAGAAGACGACAAGCUCUGCUCCAGUCACACCCAGAAGCUGACUGGUCCACGCACGGCCGAAGCAUGAGAAAACUCAUUGCGGAACUCAUUUUCCUUAAAAUUUGGACUUUUACAGUAAGGACUUCAACUGACCUUCCUCAGACUGAGGACUGUUCCAGUGUAUACAUCAAGUCACUGAGGUAGGACAAAAGGUUGCUACAGUCCUAUUAUUUUAUGGUUAUUAUAAGUGUACUGGAACUCUAAAAAUAACUUGUUUGUAUAAUGUUAUUCUGUACAAGGUAUGUAGCCCAGGAAGUGACCAACCUGAUGUGUGUUAUGACCCAUCUGAGCCUCCCAUGACCACGGUUUUUAAAAUAAGAUUAAGGACUGAGGACUGGUGGGGGCUCAUAAAUGAUAUGAGUAAAGUGUUAGCCAAAACAGAAGAAAAAGGGGUGCCCAAACAAGUCACCUUAAAAUUUGAUGCCUGUGCUGUCAUUAAUAGUAAUAAGUUAGGAAUAAAGUGUGGUUCUCUUAAUUAGAAAAGAGGCUAUAUGGCAGAAAAUAAGUACAUCUGUCAUAAAUUAGGACUGUGUGGAAAUAAAUGUAAAUACUGGUCUUGUGUCAUUUAGGCCACUUGGAUUUAAAAAAAAUGAAAAGGAUCCAGUCCACCUUCAGAAAGGAAAAAAAUGGCCCUUCCUGUGCUAAGGGACAAUGUAACCCCUUAGAGCUAGUAAUAACCAAUCCCCUUGAUCCUCGCUGGAAAAAAGAGUAGCGUGUGACCUUAGGAAUCAAUGGGGCUGGACUGAAUCCCCGAGUAAAUAUCUUGGUUCGAGGAGAAGUUUACAAAUGCUCUCUUGAGCCAGUGUUUCAAACUUUCUAUGAUGAACUAAAUGUGCCAAUAACAGAAUUUCCAGGAAAAACAAGAAAUUUGUUUUUGCAAUUAGCCGAGCAUGUAGCCCAGUCUCUCACUGUCACUUCAUGUUAUGUAUGUGGAGGAACUGUAAUAGCAGAUCAAUGGCCAUGGGAAGCCCGAGAAUUAGUACCUACAGACCCAGUUCCUGAUGAAUUCCCAGCUCAAAAGAAUCACCCUGAUAAUUUCUGGGUCCUAAAAGCCUCAAUCAUUAGACAAUACUAUAUAGCAAGAGUGGAGAAGGACUUCACCCUUCCUGUAGGAAGACUACAUGGUGGAGUUCAAACCACACAGAGAAAAAUCCAUUCAGUAAAUUUCCAAAGUUGCAGACCGUUUAGGCCCACCCAGAAUCCCACCGGGACUGGACAGCCCCCACUGGGCUAUACUGGAUAUGUGGACAUAGAGCCUACACUAAGCUGCCUGACAAGUAGUUGUGUUAUUGGCACUAUUAAACCAUCUUUCUUCCUACUGUCCAUAAAAACAGGAGAACUCCUGGGCUUCCCUGUCUAUGCUUCCCGUGAAAAGCAUAGCUAUAAGAAAUUGAAACAAUGAUAAAUGGCCCCCUGAGAGAAUCAUACAGUAUUAUGGGCCUGCUACUUAGGCACAAGAUGGCUCGUGGGGAUACCGGAUCCCCAUUUAUAUGAUCAACUGAAUCAUACGGUUACAAGCUGUCUUAAAAAUAAUCACUGCAACCGGCAGAGCCUUGACUAUUCUGGCCCAGCAAGAAACUCAGAUGAGAAAUGCUAUCUAUCAAAAUAGAUUAGCUCUCGACUACUUGCUAGCAGCUGAAGGAGAGGUCUGUAGGAAAUUUAACCUUACUAAUUGCUGCCUACACAUAGAUAACCAAGGGCAAGUAGUUGAAGACAUAGUUAGAGAUAUGACAAAAGUGGCACAUGUGCCCGUGCAAGUGUGGCAUGGAUUUGAUCCUGGGGCCAUGUUUAGAAAAUGGUUCCCAGCGCUAGGAGGAUUUAAAACUCUUAUAAUAAGAGUUAUAAUAGUAAUAGGAACCUACUUACUGCUCCCUCGUUUGCUACCUGUACUUCUUCAAAUGAUAAAAAGCUUCAUCGCUACCUUAGUAUACCAAAAUGCAUCAGCACAAGUGUACUAUAUAAAUCACUAUUGAUCUGUCUAGCAAGAAGACAUGGGUAGUAAACAUGAAACAACUCCUGCUAUUGAGUGAGAGUCUCAAAGUGGGGGAAUAAGGGAGGAGACCACCCCUCAUAUUGUCUUAUGCCCAAUUUCUGCCUCCAAAGAAAGAAAAAGUAAAAACUAAAAGGCAGAAAUGAAAUCCACAAGCAGACAGCCCGGGCGCCACACCCUGGGACUGGUAGUUGAAAAUCAAUCCCGGACCUAAUCGGUUAUGUUAUCUAUAGAUUACAGACAUUGUAUAGAAAAGCAUUGUGAAAAUCUCAUUCCUGUUUUGUUCCAAUCUAAUUACUGGUGCGUGCAGCCCCCAGUCACGUACCCACGUACCUCCUGCUUGCUCAAUCGAUCACGACCCUCUCACGCACACCCCCUUAGACUUGUGAGUCCUUAAAAGGGACAGGAAUUGCUCACUCGGGGCGGGGGCUCGGCUCUUGAGACAGGAGUCUUGCUGAUGCCUCCGGCCUAAUAAACCCCUUCCUUCUUUAACUCGGUGUCUGAGGAGUUUUGUCUGCAGCUCGUCCUGCUACAGGUGAAACCCCAUCUCUACUAAAAAAAUACAAAAAAAUUAGCCAGGUGUGGUGGCGGGUGCCUGUAGUCCCAGCUGCUUGGGAGGCUGAGGCAGGAGAAUGGUGUGAGCCUGGGAGGCAGAGCUUGCAGUGAGCCGAGAUCAUGCCACUGCACUCCAGCC